Molecule: long non-coding RNA, 266 nt
Filed under: Lathyrus oleraceus (garden pea)
Lineage: Eukaryota; Viridiplantae; Streptophyta; Magnoliopsida; Fabales; Fabaceae
Description: Pisum sativum (pea) long non-coding RNA (PSAT_LNC003886)
Source: RNAcentral
UUCUUUGGCCUCUGGAGUUGAUUUGACUAUGCUUCCAGCACUGGUUGAUGCUUCUUUAUAGCCACAGACUUCUCUUGAGGUCCAUAUUCUUCUUGCUUGAUCUCAUGACUGUCAUAUUCUAUUUUUACCCCUAAGAUUCCACAUAUCAUAUCAUUUACAUUUUCAAUCAAGAUCACAAUCAUGGUAUCCUCAUAACCUUCACCUCUUUGGGUUUGCCUUUGUGGGAGAUCAUCAAGCACCCUUUGUGUUUUAUUUUUACCUUUUUU